Molecule: ribosomal RNA, 248 nt
Filed under: uncultured Syntrophomonas sp.
Lineage: Bacteria; Bacillati; Bacillota; Clostridia; Eubacteriales; Syntrophomonadaceae
Description: partial 16S ribosomal RNA
Rfam family: Bacterial small subunit ribosomal RNA
Source: RNAcentral
CACGCUGUAAACGAUGGAUACUAGGUGUGGGAGGUAUCGACCCCUUCUGUGCCGCAGCAAACGCAAUAAGUAUCCCGCCUGGGGAGUACGAUCGCAAGGUUGAAACUCAAAGGAAUUGACGGGGGCCCGCACAAGCGGUGGAGCAUGUGGUUUAAUUCGAUGCAACGCGAAGAACCUUACCAGGUUUUGACAUCUGUGGAACCCUGGUGAAAGCCGGGGGUGCCUUUUAGGAGCCACAAGACAGGUGG